Molecule: microRNA, 22 nt
Filed under: Mus musculus (house mouse)
Lineage: Eukaryota; Metazoa; Chordata; Mammalia; Rodentia; Muridae
Description: mmu-miR-7651-5p
Source: miRBase by way of RNAcentral
AAGUGGAAAGCCAGCCUGAGAU